GCACAAGCAGCGGAGCGUGUGGUUUAAUUCGAUGCUACACGAAGAACCUUACAGGGUUUGACAUACAGUAGUAGGGAAAGGAAACUGGACCGACCCUUCGGGGAGCUUGUACAGGUGCUGCAUGGCUGUCGUCAGCUCGUGUCGUGAGAUGUUCGGUUAAGUCCGCUAACGAGCGCAACCCUCGCUGUGUGUUACAAGUGUCACACGGAACUGCCGGUCAUAAAACGGAGGAAGGUGGGAUGACGUCAAAUCAUCAUGCCCCUUAUGUUCUGGGCUACACACGUGCUACAAUGGCCGGUACAGACGGAGGCGAAGCCGCGAGGCGGAGCAAAUCCGAAAAAGCCGGUCUCAGUUCGGAUUGCAGGCUGCAAUUCGCCUGCAUGAAGUCGGAAUCGCUAGUAAUCGCAGGUCAGCAUACUGCGGUGAAUACGUUCCCGGGCCUU
Molecule: ribosomal RNA, 443 nt
Filed under: uncultured Longilinea sp.
Lineage: Bacteria; Bacillati; Chloroflexota; Anaerolineae; Anaerolineales; Anaerolineaceae
Description: bacterial SSU rRNA
Rfam family: Bacterial small subunit ribosomal RNA
Source: RNAcentral